This is a long non-coding RNA of Oncorhynchus tshawytscha (Chinook salmon), 275 nucleotides long. Lineage: Eukaryota; Metazoa; Chordata; Actinopteri; Salmoniformes; Salmonidae. The record is from Ensembl.
AGCAGGAAAACCAAAUAUCUCUGACAGUUGACAAGCAGGGAUACCUUCUACGUCAACACCAUGACCAGCUGGCACAACUGGGGAGUCGUUGCCUUCAACUACCUGAUGAUACAUCCAGCCGACCCAGUGAGCCAGCACAACAGCCCAUUCAGCAACCCGCUCAGGGGGACGGCUGCCGAGUAUACACUCACCUUCCGGACAGUAGAAGCAUCCAUUGGAUGGAAUGAGCCGGUGCUUCGUACACUAUUCAGAAGAGUCUGCGCGAGGAGGUCCAG